AUGAUGGGAGGGGCGACGUGUGGGAAUUUAUUGGGGCGCGAGAGGCCUGGACAAGGAAGGGGGGUGAUCUUGAUCUGGAGGCAGCAGAGCGAUGACGAUAGUCGUCAGGAUGGACACCACGCGGGUCAGGGAGGUGUGGUUGCACAUGAGCGUGCUAGCCUGAGAAAAAUUGAUCAAAAACUUAGAUCGGGAUCGAUUUGGAGAGGAACGCAAGUUGUGUGUGAGGAAGAAAACCCAGGCUCUAAUACCAUGUUAGGAAUAUGCAACUUGUAUUCCCAUGUGGACAUAGACUAUAGAAGUACAUGUGUGCCGCAAUAUGCAGAAAGCCCCUUGUAUAAUGGGAAAAAUACAAAGGGUACACAACUAUAA
This 369-nucleotide ribosomal RNA is filed under the name Triticum aestivum (bread wheat). RNAcentral describes it as "partial small subunit ribosomal RNA". Lineage: Eukaryota; Viridiplantae; Streptophyta; Magnoliopsida; Poales; Poaceae. The record is from RNAcentral.